Rhinichthys klamathensis goyatoka is the source of this 925-nucleotide long non-coding RNA. RefSeq lists it as uncharacterized. The transcript is spliced from 6 exons. NCBI's taxonomy places the organism in Eukaryota, Metazoa, Chordata, Actinopteri, Cypriniformes, Leuciscidae. The record is from RefSeq and is a predicted model, not a curated record.
GCGCAUGCGCACAACCACUGACUAUAUAAGGCGUGGUCGCCUGCUCGUUCUUCCCAGUUCCUUCUUCUUUCUGCAGGUAUGUGGGCUGUUGGGAAAUGGAGCUUUGUUCUAGCGCAUACUCAGAUCUUGACCAUGCUAAAACCUAAUGGAUAACCUCCCGUUCCCCAGGCUUUGUUUCAUGAGUUCUACACACUCUCAAACAGAUCAUGCUUGGACCAAAUGUAUAACCUGUUCAUCUGGCUUCGUUUCAUAAGUCCUACAUGCUCUCAAUCAGAUCAUGCUUGGACCAAAUGGAUAACCUGUUGAUCUGGCUUCAUUUCAUAAGUCCUACACGCUCUCAAACAGGUAACGUAAUGCUGAACAUGUUCUCAGGACUCUGUGUUUGCCAUUUACCUGGUGCACAUGAUGACUGAUCUUUUUUCCCCAGCAGAUCGAUAGUGUUGACACUUGCUCUAACCUUUUAAGCCAAUUUAUCUGAAGCGCCACCAGACUUGUUGGCAUACAAAGUUUGAGGUGCAUUUCUUGUUCUUUAUUCUUUUAUUUGUGUCCCUUCAAACGAUCGAAUUAGGUAAUUUCAAGAGGACCUUUACAUGAGUGACCUUUGAUGGAUGGCAACAUGUGAGGCAGUUGAGGGCUUUGAGAGAUGUGUACCCCGAUGGCCCUCCAGUGCCAAACCUACACGGAGAAGCGGGUGAAGUGUGUAUAAUGGCUCUCUCUGCCAAGCAGCUCACGUUUACCAGUGAUGAGGGAGAAAGAAACAAUUUUGUACUUCCUAAUUUUUUUCCCAAUAAACCUGAACCAUCAAAACUUUGCUGCUUGUUUUUGGAAUACUUUCUCUCAUGCUCUUAUGAAUGUGCCAUGUUAUAACUGUCAGUUGAGUGAAUUUAAUGUUUUGUGACCUAUGGCACAGAGUUUGUACAAGGUU